This 774-nucleotide ribosomal RNA is filed under the name uncultured Neocallimastigales. Its description in RNAcentral is "partial large subunit ribosomal RNA". It matches the Rfam family "Eukaryotic large subunit ribosomal RNA", at positions 18 to 643 of the family's 3401-position model. The record is from RNAcentral. Lineage: Eukaryota; Fungi; Neocallimastigomycota; Neocallimastigomycetes; Neocallimastigales.
UCAGACGAUGCGUCAUGCAUAUCAAUAAGCGGAGGAAAAGAAACUAACAAGGAUUCCCCUAGUAACGGCGAGUGAAGCGGGAAGAGCUCAAAUUUGAAAUCUUAAAGGGUUUCCCUUUACGAAUUGUAGUUUAAAGAAGUGUUUUCUGUUGAGGUUUUGGUAAAGGUUCUUUGGAAUAGGACAUCAUAGAGGGUGAGAAUCCCGUAUUUGACCUUUACUUUCAACUUUGUGAUACACUUUCAAAGAGUCGGAUUGUUUGGGAAUGCAGUCCAAAAUGGGUGGUAAAUUUCAUCUAAAGCUAAAUAUUGGCGAGAGACCGAUAGCGAACAAGUACCGUGAGGGAAAGAUGAAAAGAACUUUGAAAAGAGAGUUAAACAGUACGUGAAAUUGUCAAAAGGGAAGCGUUUGACACCAGUGUUGUUUUUCUGAAAAUCAAUUAAAGAACUGUUUAUGCUAAGUUGUUUAGACUUUAUCAGCUAUCUGCUUAGUUUUGAGCUUUUCUUUAAUGCACUUUUCAGUUAACAAGUCAACAUCAAUUUCUUUUGCUGUAAAAAAGCUUGAGGAAGGUGGCUUGAGAUUCGUCUUAAGUGUUUAUAGCCUCUUGCCUAUGCAGUCGGAGAGAUUGAGGUCUGCAGCGUAGAUCCUUCGGGGCUAAAUGCAUUUGUGCUAAGUUAUAGCAUUUUAUAGACAACUUGUUGACUAUGAUUUGUCUUGUAGCUUACUCGCUUAUGUUAUUUUACCUACGCUUAGGAUGUUGACACACGCGCGUGCUCG